RNAcentral lists this ribosomal RNA (218 nucleotides) under uncultured bacterium. RNAcentral describes it as "partial 16S ribosomal RNA". It matches the Rfam family "Bacterial small subunit ribosomal RNA", at positions 1283 to 1500 of the family's 1533-position model. The record is from RNAcentral.
CAAUCUCAGUUCAGACUGCAGGCUGCAACUCGCCUGCACGAAGUCGGAAUUGCUAGUAAUCGUAGGUCAGCAUACUACGGUGAAUACGUUCCCGGGCCUUGUACACACCGCCCGUCAAACCAUGAGAGUCGGGAACACCCGAAGUCCGUAGCCUAACCGCAAGGGGGGCGCGGCCGAAGGUGGGUUCGAUAAUUGGGGUGAAGUCGUAACAAGGUAUC